Molecule: ribosomal RNA, 384 nt
Filed under: uncultured eukaryote
Lineage: Eukaryota
Description: SSU rRNA
Rfam family: Eukaryotic small subunit ribosomal RNA
Source: RNAcentral
AUCUCUAAUAGUGUAUAUUAAAGUUGUUGUAGUUAAAAAGCUCUUAGUUUGAUGUCUGAUGGGAGCAAUCAGUAUGGCACUUUGUAUCGUAGCUUGCAUUGUCUCUAGCCAUCCUCGGAAAUAAUUAGCCUGGCAUUAAGUUGUCGGGCUGAAGAUUUCCAUCCUUUACUGUGAAAACAGUUGAGUGUUCAAAGCAGGCUUAAGCCGUUGAAUAUAUUAGCAUGGAAUAAUGAUAUAGGACUUUGGUACUAUUUUGUUGGUUUACGUGCCAUAGUAAUGAUUGACAGGAACAGUUGGGGGUAUUUGUAUUCCAAUGUCAGAGUUGAAAUUCUUGGAUGUUUGGAAGACAAACUACUGCGAAAGCAUUUACCAAGGAUGUUUUCA